GGAGGAUCUAGCAUUUCCCGUUUUAAAAAUGAGGUUUACUUCCCAACAGUACAUUUGCCCUAUCACGACUUUCUACACGAUUCGUCAUCCCUGCUACAUUGCCGGAAAUUCGCCGUUUUGGCGACCUUUCAGAACCAUCCUGCAGCUGAGUCCGUGAAUCCGCAACUACAUCCAAGAACCUACCCAUUAAGCUACCUCUACGCCUUGCCCAGAGUGCUCUGUUACUUGAGUUUUAUCUUGUCGUUUGUAAGAAUAGAGUGCUUCCUGUCAAAUGUUGUUGAGCUAUUUAUGGUUUUAUCACAUAACUUAGUGCUCUUGUCAAUAUAUACGUGUGCACACCUAGUACUACUAGAUGCUUCUUUGAUACUUCUGCCAUGGUUUGCUCGUCCGUUGCUUAAAUGGAGGAAGGAAUUAUCAUAAGCUUUUUGAGAGGCUAGACAUAUGGGCUUGGGUGAAAAUUGCAAAAAAUAGGCACUCAUUGAUCAAAGAAAUUGAGACAUUCUUAGCGAGGUAAAUUAUUUUCUUAGUAUAUAUUCUUAUUUA
This is a long non-coding RNA of Carya illinoinensis, 543 nucleotides long. RefSeq lists it as uncharacterized. Lineage: Eukaryota; Viridiplantae; Streptophyta; Magnoliopsida; Fagales; Juglandaceae. The record is from RefSeq and is a predicted model, not a curated record. The transcript is spliced from 2 exons.